GUAUUAGGCAAAUCCGGUACUCAUUAAGGCUGAGCUGUGAUGGGGAGAAGACAUUGUGUCUUCGAGUCGUUGAUUUCACACUGCCGAGAAAAGCCUCUAGAUAGAAAAUAGGUGCCCGUACCGCAAACCGACACAGGUAGUCAAGAUGAGAAUUCUAAGGUGAGCGAGCGAACUCUCGUUAAGGAACUCGGCAAAAUGACCCCGUAACUUCGGGAGAAGGGGUGCUCUUUAGGGUUAACGCCCAGAAGAGCCGCAGUGAAUAGGCCCAAGCGACUGUUUAUCAAAAACACAGGUCUCUGCUAAACCGUAAGGUGAUGUAUAGGGGCUGACGCCUGCCCGGUGCUGGAAGGUUAAGAGGAGUGGUUAGCUUCUGCGAAGCUACGAAUCGAAGCCCCAGUAAACGGCGGCCGUAACUAUAACGGUCCUAAGGUAGCGAAAUUCCUUGUCGGGUAAGUUCCGACCCGCACGAAAGGCGUAACGAUUUGGGCACUGUCUCAACGAGAGACUCGGUGAAAUCAUAGUACCUGUGAAGAUGCAGGUUACCCGCGACAGGACGGAAAGACCCCGUGGAGCUUUACUGUAGCCUGAUAUUGAAAUUCGGCACAGCUUGUACAGGAUAGGUAGGAGCCUUUGAAACGUGAGCGCUAGCUUACGUGGAGGCGCUGGUGGGAUACUACCCUAGCUGUGUUGGCUUUCUAACCCGCACCACUUAUCGUGGUGGGAGACAGUGUCAGGCGGGCAGUUUGACUGGGGCGGUCGCCUCCUAAAAGGUAACGGAGGCGCUCAAAGGUUCCCUCAGAAUGGUUGGAAAUCAUUCAUAGAGUGUAAAGGCAUAAGGGAGCUUGACUGCGAGACCUACAAGUCGAGCAGGGUCGAAAGACGGACUUAGUGAUCCGGUGGUUCCGCAUGGAAGGGCCAUCGCUCAACGGAUAAAAGCUACCCCGGGGAUAACAGGCUUAUCUCCCCCAAGAGUUCACAUCGACGGGGAGGUUUGGCACCUCGAUGUCGGCUCAUCGCAUCCUGGGGCUGUAGUCGGUCCCAAGGGUUGGGCUGUUCGCCCAUUAAAGCGGUACGCGAGCUGGGUUCAGAACGUCGUGAGACAGUUCGGUCCCUAUCCGUCGUGGGCGUAGGAAAUUUGAGAGGAGCUGUCCUUAGUACGAGAGGACCGGGAUGGACAUACCUCUGGUGUACCAGUUGUCGUGCCAACGGCAUAGCUGGGUAGCUAUGUGUGGACGGGAUAAGUGCUGAAAGCAUCUAAGCAUGAAGCCCCCCUCAAGAUGAGAUUUCCCAACUUCGGUUAUAAGAUCCCUCAAAGAUGAUGAGGUUAAUAGGUUCGAGGUGGAAGCAUGGUGACAUGUGGAGCUGACGAAUACUAA
This 1376-nucleotide ribosomal RNA is filed under the name Staphylococcus aureus. RNAcentral's name for it is "partial 23S ribosomal RNA". It matches the Rfam family "Bacterial large subunit ribosomal RNA", at positions 1529 to 2904 of the family's 2925-position model. The record is from RNAcentral. Lineage: Bacteria; Bacillati; Bacillota; Bacilli; Caryophanales; Staphylococcaceae.